RNAcentral lists this ribosomal RNA (504 nucleotides) under uncultured bacterium. RNAcentral's name for it is "partial 16S ribosomal RNA". It matches the Rfam family "Bacterial small subunit ribosomal RNA", at positions 28 to 507 of the family's 1533-position model. The record is from RNAcentral.
GACGAACGCUGGCGGCGUGCUUAACACAUGCAAGUCGAACGGUGAAGCGCUUGCCUUUUUGGUUGGUGUGGAUGAGUGGCGAACGGGUGAGUAACACGUGAGUAACCUGCCCUCUUCUUCUGGAUAACCUCAUGAAAGUGGGGCUAAUACGGGGUAUUCCGGUUCUGUCGCAUGGCGGGUUUGGGAAAGAUUGCGCCUUUGGGUGUUUUCGGUGGGGGAUGGGCUCGCGGCCUAUCAGCUUGUUGGUGGGGUGAUGGCCUACCAAGGCGGUGACGGGUAGACGGGCUGAGAGGGUGGACGGCCAAACGGGGACUGGGACACGGCCCAGACUCCUGAGGGAGGCAGCAGUGGGGAAUAUUGCACAAUGGGCGCAAGCCUGAUGCAGCGACGCCGCGUGAGGGAUGGAGGCCUUCGGGUUGUGAACCUCUUUCGCCAGUGAAGCAGGCCUGCUCCUGUGUGGGUGGGUUGACGGUAGCUGGAUAAGAAGCGCCGGCUAACUACGUG